Molecule: ribosomal RNA, 536 nt
Filed under: Hepatozoon canis
Lineage: Eukaryota; Apicomplexa; Hepatozoidae
Description: SSU rRNA
Rfam family: Eukaryotic small subunit ribosomal RNA
Source: RNAcentral
AGGGCAAGUCUGGUGCCAGCAGCCGCGGUAAUCCCAGCUACCAUAGCGUAUAUCAAAAUUGUUGCAGUUAAAAAGCUCGUAGUUGAAGUUCUGCUGAAAGUAACCGGUCUGCUUUUAAUAAAAGUGGUAUCUUGGUAUGUAUUUAGCAAUGAUGUCCUUUGAAGUGUUUUUUACUUUAUUGUAAUAAAGCAUAUUCAGGACUUUUACUUUGAGAAAAUUAGAGUGUUUCUAGCAGGCUAACGCUUUGAAUACUGCAGCAUGGAAUAAUAAGAUAGGAUUUUAGUUCUACAUUAUUGGUUUUAAGAGCUAAAUUAAUGAUUGAUAGGGACAGUUGGGGGCAUUUGUAUUUAACUGUCAGAGGUGAAAUUCUUAGAUUUGUUAAAGACAAACUACUGCGAAAGCAUUUGCCAAAGAUGUUUUCAUUAAUCAAGAACGAAAGUUAGGGGAUCGAAGACGAUCAGAUACCGUCGUAGUCUUAACUAUAAACUAUGCCGACUAGAGAUUGGAGGUCGUCUUUAUAAACGACUCCUUCAGCA